Molecule: ribosomal RNA, 1330 nt
Filed under: uncultured bacterium
Lineage: Bacteria
Description: bacterial SSU rRNA
Rfam family: Bacterial small subunit ribosomal RNA
Source: RNAcentral
GACGAACGCUGGCGGCGUGCUUAACACAUGCAAGUCGAACGGACCCUUUGGGGUUAGUGGCGAACGGGUGAGUAACACGUGGGUGAUCUGCCCUGCACUUUGGGAUAAGCCUGGGAAACUGGGUCUAAUACCGGAUAGGACUACGCACUGCAUGGUGUGUGGUGGAAAGCUUUUGCGGUGUGGGAUGGGCCCGCGGCCUAUCAGCUUGUUGGUGGGGUGAUGGCCUACCAAGGCGACGACGGGUAGCCGGCCUGAGAGGGUGACCGGCCACACUGGGACUGAGAUACGGCCCAGACUCCUACGGGAGGCAGCAGUGGGGAAUAUUGCACAAUGGGCGCAAGCCUGAUGCAGCGACGCCGCGUGAGGGAUGACGGCCUUCGGGUUGUAAACCUCUUUCGCCAGGGACGAAGCGCAAGUGACGGUACCUGGAGAAGAAGGACCGGCCAACUACGUGCCAGCAGCCGCGGUAAUACGUAGGGUCCGAGCGUUGUCCGGAAUUACUGGGCGUAAAGAGCUCGUAGGUGGUUUGUCGCGUUGUUCGUGAAAACUCACAGCUUAACUGUGGGCGUGCGGGCGAUACGGGCAGACUGGAGUACUGCAGGGGAGACUGGAAUUCCUGGUGUAGCGGUGGAAUGCGCAGAUAUCAGGAGGAACACCGGUGGCGAAGGCGGGUCUCUGGGCAGUAACUGACGCUGAGGAGCGAAAGCGUGGGGAGCGAACAGGAUUAGAUACCCUGGUAGUCCACGCCGUAAACGGUGGGUACUAGGUGUGGGUUUCCUUCCUUGGGAUCCGUGCCGUAGCUAACGCAUUAAGUACCCCGCCUGGGGAGUACGGCCGCAAGGCUAAAACUCAAAGGAAUUGACGGGGGCCCGCACAAGCGGCGGAGCAUGUGGAUUAAUUCGAUGCAACGCGAAGAACCUUACCUGGGUUUGACAUGCACAGGACGCCGGCAGAGAUGUCGGUUCCCUUGUGGCCUGUGUGCAGGUGGUGCAUGGCUGUCGUCAGCUCGUGUCGUGAGAUGUUGGGUUAAGUCCCGCAACGAGCGCAACCCUUGUCUCAUGUUGCCAGCACGUUAUGGUGGGGACUCGUGAGAGACUGCCGGGGUCAACUCGGAGGAAGGUGGGGAUGACGUCAAGUCAUCAUGCCCCUUAUGUCCAGGGCUUCACACAUGCUACAAUGGCCGGUACAAAGGGCUGCGAUGCCGUGAGGUGGAGCGAAUCCUUUCAAAGCCGGUCUCAGUUCGGAUCGGGGUCUGCAACUCGACCCCGUGAAGUCGGAGUCGCUAGUAAUCGCAGAUCAGCAACGCUGCGGUGAAUACGUUCCCGGGCCU